Long non-coding RNA from Varroa destructor (honeybee mite), 2527 nucleotides. The record is from RefSeq and is a predicted model, not a curated record. NCBI's taxonomy places the organism in Eukaryota, Metazoa, Arthropoda, Arachnida, Mesostigmata, Varroidae.
GCAAUAUUGUUUUGUCCGAACAAUACAGUAUGCCAAUGAAGUGGUACUUUUCCUUUUUUUUUUUUCGAGCUGCUAAUAACGACGACGACAUGUGGUAUAGCAAAUGUGAAACUCGGUGACUUAAUUUAGCUUUAGUUACUGGCCAAUAAAAUCGGGCGAUCUAAACAUUUGCUCCGCACUCGAACUAAACGUCUCCAUGUGGUCUCUUUCACAUAAACGUUGUCUCUUUCCGCUUUCUCAUGAUAGCACAUGUGAUGGAACUAUCGCUAGAAACGUAUUUGUAAACUGCUGUCGAGGGAAAUACAUGGCGCAAUCGUUGUUGACGACAGCACGUAUGUAGUAUGGACAGUCAAGCCGUUACGCGCAGUCCAUUCAGUAUCGUAUUUAGUCUUCCCCCGUGCACGAAGAGAUUUAAGAUGUUUUAGAACAAUCAUCGCUACUCUUAACUAUGCAAUGCCAACGAUCUUAUUGUGACCACAGAUUAUUUUGUAGUGAUUUUCGUAUUUCUACUACGAUGCGAAUGUUUCAGGAGUUCUACAUUUCUUCAAUGCGAUUAUGGAAAAACGCCAAUACAGUAGAAUAAUUCAGACGAAAAUGCUGCCCCAAUAUGAGAACGGCUUCUGGUUGGAAAUUGUGUGUCUACGAUAUAUAUGAAACCGUACCUAGUUCGAUUGAUGACACAGUCGAGUUUAUAACAUAUCCAGACGAACUAGUAUCGAUGUGGCUCGCUUUCAAAUUAAUACUGUCAUUAUUAUUAGCGUUCCACGAGUGCAUUUUUAGUGAAGGAUUAUAGCGCCUGCAAGAAGCUAUUAGCAUCAGGCUAGCGGCAUGGCGUCGGACAUGGCGUGAGACGAAGGUGGACUACGUCAACAUACGGAUUACGUGACCACCAACGCUGAAUUGGCCCAUCGACAAGACGUAAAAUUAAAAAUAUGUCUAACAUAAGACGACAAUCGAAGAUAUGAUCGAGCCACAGUAAUUAACUCAGGUACGUUUUAGUCUUAUUUUUAAAGGAAAAUGAGGUCGAAAGAGCCAAUCAUUUUAGAAUGGUCUGUCUGAAUAACAUUCGCAAACAGAAACUACGUCGAUCAAUCGUAUGCGGUACGUUUGUGGGUCAGUGCGCAGUUGUGGUCUGCAGUUUUAUCAUUGCAUCUAAUGUAUUUAUCCACGUUACAAAAGGGAAUCAUUUUGAUAGUUUAUUCCCAGAAAUUGAAUAUAUUCAAUUCUUGACCAUUUAUUGGAACAAUAUGGAUGUCAAGGUUUCUCUCGUUAUAACGUUACUAUUAUGGCAAGAGCUUAACUCGUAGCCUUGAGCAAGAAGUAGAAAUUUUUAGACAAGGCACACAUUACACAUUUAGAUGGUAAUGAAAACAGAUUAAUUUAUGUGUGACAGGAAAUGUUCUGAGAGAAAAAAUAUGACUUCUUAUUUCUGGAGUUUAAGCUAAUAUGUUUGCAGGACAGGCCUCGUAGCUGAGUUACCACGUAAGCCGACUGAGGCGCGAGAGUCCAAAAUAAUAUGACGCAGAAUCUUAGUCGCAUCUGAUCGACGAACAUCUAGAAGGCCAGUUCGAUUAAUCAAUGUUGUUCAUCUACCUUUAAUAACUGGGAGCAAAAAAAAUGUGGGCAAGGGCAAGCGAUACAGCUCUUAUAUGAUCAAGACAAUAAACACAAGUCCCGUCAAAUCAUUUCACCCACAUGCGAUAUACGACGAUUCUUAGGAAAAAAAAAGAGUUCUGAAGUAUUAUUGUACACCUAGGUCGUACCUGCUAUGAAGUACCGAGAAUCUAACGGCCAUCAACAGACCUAGCAAUAAUUAUGAUGUUUUCAAUAAAUCGGCGAAACCCAAAUACAGUUCACUCAAGUCUUGAAAUUAUUUUUUGAGAUUUGUAACGAGAUAGAUUCACCUGCAACCCAUCUAAAUGGCCAUAAAUAUUUGACGUAAGAUAGCUUAUGCUGCAUUUGUUUUGAAUGUGUAUUGACGUAAUAGUAAUAAUAAUAAAGGUUCGUUACCUAUGUCCACAGACCAACAAUACACGAAUAUAAUACAAGCAUAAACCUGCUUCUUUUUCAACUGUAAUUUUUAGUGUUUUUUUGCAAGAACAAAUUUGACAGGGACACAACUUCCCACGCCUGGCAAAUACUUGAUAACCCAUUGCUGCUAAUAUCUUUACGCAUUUACUUAGAGACAGCACAAUUUUGUAUCGAACACCGGUAACUCGUUCACGAAGGACCACUCCGUAUGGCAUGUUGGCGUUCUACCCUUCAAGAUUAUUAAACAUGACGGCCCGAACGCUUCUGCACUGCUUUAGGUUUUUUACGACACCUCAUUUUCGAAACUAGCUCGCUGCAACUGCUGUCUAUGAGCUUGUAUUAUUGCAUCUUUGUUCGAUGUAUAUUUCGCACAGUUCAAGCAUAGACGCCAGUCUGUCUUUUUUUUUUACCCAUCGUAUCUGGCUCUAUUUCUUUGCAGCAAUUUAAAUAUGAAAAACCGGGCUGUAUCCUUUACAAAGUGCUUACCACUGUUACG